RNAcentral lists this unclassified non-coding RNA (378 nucleotides) under plant metagenome. RNAcentral describes it as "partial contains 5.8S ribosomal RNA, internal transcribed spacer 2, and large subunit ribosomal RNA". The stretch from base 1 to 105 matches the Rfam family "5.8S ribosomal RNA", at positions 50 to 154 of the family's 154-position model. The record is from RNAcentral.
GAAAUGCGAUAAGUAAUGUGAAUUGCAGAAUUCAGUGAAUCAUCGAAUCUUUGAACGCACCUUGCGCUCCUUGGUAUUCCUUGGAGCAUACCUGUUUGAGUAUCAUGAAAUCUUCAAAGUAAAUCUUUUGUUAACUCAAUUGGUUUCUACUUUGGUAUUGGAGGUCUUUGCAGCUUCACACCUGCUCCUCUUUGUUCAUUAGCUGGAUCUCAGUGUUAUGCUUGGUUCCACUCGGCGUGAUAAGUUAUCUAUCGCUGAGGACACUGUAAAAGGUGGCCAAGGUAAAUGCAGAUGAACCGCUUCUAAUAGUCCAUUGACUUGGACAAUACUUUUAUGAUCUGAUCUCAAAUCAGGUAGGACUAACCGCUGAACUUAAGC